GCCCUGUUAGCUCAGUUGGCAGAGCAGCUGACUCUUAAUCAGCGGGUCACAGGUUCGAGUCCUGUACAGGGCA
This 73-nucleotide transfer RNA is filed under the name Phycisphaerales bacterium. RNAcentral describes it as "tRNA-Lys". It matches the Rfam family "tRNA". Rfam says of the family: Transfer RNA (tRNA) molecules are approximately 80 nucleotides in length. Their secondary structure includes four short double-helical elements and three loops (D, anti-codon, and T loops). Further hydrogen bonds mediate the characteristic L-shaped molecular structure. tRNAs have two regions of fundamental functional importance: the anti-codon, which is responsible for specific mRNA codon recognition, and the 3' end, to which the tRNAs corresponding amino acid is attached (by aminoacyl-tRNA synthetases). tRNAs cope with the degeneracy of the genetic code in two manners: having more than one tRNA (with a specific anti-codon) for a particular amino acid; and 'wobble' base-pairing, i.e. permitting non-standard base-pairing at the 3rd anti-codon position. The record is from RNAcentral. Lineage: Bacteria; Pseudomonadati; Planctomycetota; Phycisphaerae; Phycisphaerales.